This 232-nucleotide ribosomal RNA is filed under the name uncultured bacterium. RNAcentral's name for it is "partial 16S ribosomal RNA". It matches the Rfam family "Bacterial small subunit ribosomal RNA", at positions 257 to 504 of the family's 1533-position model. The record is from RNAcentral.
GUAAAGGCCUACCAAGCCGACGAUCAGUAGCCGACCUGAGAGGGUGACCGGCCACAUUGGGACUGAGACACGGCCCAAACUCCUACGGGAGGCAGCAGUGGGGGAUAUUGCGCAAUGGGGGAAACCCUGACGCAGCAACGCCGCGUGAAGGAAGAAGGUUUUCGGAUUGUAAACUUCUUUUGUCAGGGACGAAUAGAUGACGGUACCUGACGAAUAAGCUCCGGCUAACUAC